CCUACGGGAGGCUGCAGUCGAGAAUCAUUCACAAUGGGGGAAACCCUGAUGGUGCGACGCCGCGUGGGGGAAUGAAGGUCUUCGGAUUGUAAACCCCUGUCAUGUGGGAGCAAAUUAAAAAGAUAGUACCACAAGAGGAAGAGACGGCUAACUCUGUGCCAGCAGCCGCGGUAAUACAGAGGUCUCAAGCGUUGUUCGGAAUCACUGGGCGUAAAGCGUGCGUAGGCUGUUUCGUAAGUCGUGUGUGAAAGGCGCGGGCUCAACCCGCGGACGGCACAUGAUACUGCGAGACUAGAGUAAUGGAGGGGGAACCGGAAUUCUCGGUGUAGCAGUGAAAUGCGUAGAUAUCGAGAGGAACACUCGUGGCGAAGGCGGGUUCCUGGACAUUAACUGACGCUGAGGCACGAAGGCCAGGGGAGCGAAAGAGAUUAGAUACCCGAGUAGUC
This 446-nucleotide ribosomal RNA is filed under the name uncultured bacterium. RNAcentral's name for it is "partial 16S ribosomal RNA". It matches the Rfam family "Bacterial small subunit ribosomal RNA", at positions 338 to 795 of the family's 1533-position model. The record is from RNAcentral.